Molecule: long non-coding RNA, 409 nt
Filed under: Triticum aestivum (bread wheat)
Lineage: Eukaryota; Viridiplantae; Streptophyta; Magnoliopsida; Poales; Poaceae
Description: long non-coding RNA (TAES_LNC026071)
Source: RNAcentral
UCGCCCCUUCUACAAGAACUCCCUUUGAAGGUUCGUCCAGCUGUCGUGUCUCCCCUAAAUCUUACAUUCACAGCUCGUUCUUCAUUGAUAUGCUGCUGCAUCCUUUGCAUCUGGACGAACGACAAAUAAAUUAAGUAUUUUUUAUGUCCCCCCUCAUGUACACUUGCAAUUUUGGAUUUCUGAUUCUGAGAUUGUAAUUGCACUCCUUUCUACUUCCUGAAUGUUCUUGUAGGUAGUGUUGAAGAGGGAUGACCACGAAUCCUUGAUGCCUCAGCAUAUGUAUUUCCACGAAGAACACAUUAUCUCUUAUUGCCUUGUUGCUUUUCUGCACACCUACAGCAAACAAUUUGCUGCACCAUGACAUUGUUGACAACAACAUAAAUUAUUCUUAUUCAGCAGCAUAAGUACG